UUGCCUGCUUAUCAAAAACAUGUUUGUUUGUAGUUAUAGAUGAUUUAGCCUGCCCCCUGAUAAAUGAAUUAAAGGGCCGCAGUAUUUUAACUGUGCAAAGGUAGCAUAAUCAUUAGGUUUUUAAUUGGAAUCUUGUAUGAAUGGCUGGACAAAAGAAAAUCUUUCUUUGUAUUAAACUUUGAAUUUAACUUUUAAGUGAAAAGGCUUAAAUAUUUCAAGGGGACGAUAAGACCCUAUAAAACUUUACAUUGUAGUCAAGAUUUAAUUUGAUUUAAAAUAAGAGUUUAAUUAGAUUAUUUGUUAUGUUGGGGAGACACAGGUAAAAUUUUUUUAUUUUAACUGCUUUAGAAAUUUAACAAUUAUUAUUGAGGUGUAAUAGGUCCUUUUUAAAGAUUAAUAAGUUAAGUUACUUUAGGGAUAACAGCGUAAUUUCUUUUAAGAGUUCUUAUCGAAAAAGAAGAUUGCGACCUCGAUGUUGAAUUAAAAUAUCUAUAUAAUGGAGAAGUUAUAUAAGAAGGUCUGUUCGACCUUUAAAUUUUUACAUGAUUUGAGUUCAAACCGGCGUGAGCCAGGUUGAUUUCUAUCUCUUC
This 590-nucleotide ribosomal RNA is filed under the name Eosamon daiae. RNAcentral describes it as "partial large subunit ribosomal RNA". It matches the Rfam family "Bacterial large subunit ribosomal RNA", at positions 1796 to 2647 of the family's 2925-position model. The record is from RNAcentral. Lineage: Eukaryota; Metazoa; Arthropoda; Malacostraca; Decapoda; Potamidae.